AAAACAUUAUCAACCUUAUUUUUUAAAGGGCUUUAUGUUUCUGAGAAGUUUUAGAUUCACAGCGAAAUUGAGAGGAAGGUCCAGAGAUUGCCCAUAUGCGCCUUGCCCCCGCAAGCAGAGC
This is a non-coding RNA of Ceratotherium simum simum (southern white rhinoceros), 121 nucleotides long. The record is from RefSeq and is a predicted model, not a curated record. Lineage: Eukaryota; Metazoa; Chordata; Mammalia; Perissodactyla; Rhinocerotidae.